This 252-nucleotide ribosomal RNA is filed under the name uncultured bacterium. RNAcentral's name for it is "partial 16S ribosomal RNA". It matches the Rfam family "Bacterial small subunit ribosomal RNA", at positions 524 to 776 of the family's 1533-position model. The record is from RNAcentral.
UACGGAGGAUGCGAGCGUUAUCCGGAUUUAUUGGGUUUAAAGGGUGCGUAGGCGGACGCUUAAGUCAGCGGUAAAAUUGCGGGGCUCAACCUCGUCGAGCCGUUGAAACUGGGUGCCUUGAGUGGGCGAGAAGUACGCGGAAUGCGUGGUGUAGCGGUGAAAUGCAUAGAGAUCACGCAGAACUCCGAUUGCGAAGGCAGCGUACCGGCGCCCAACUGACGCUGAAGCACGAAGGCGUGGGUAUCGAACAGG